GCGAUGGCGGAUACGUGGGCCAGAGCUGCCGUCGAUGCCAUUCACUUGAGUCCUACACAGGCCGUUCUCUACCUUUCCGGCGGCGCUUCUCAGGCUAUAGGAUGGUUGCUCUCAGUUCCGGGAGCUUCCGGCACAGUCCUCGAAGCUCUUGUGCCUUACUCCCGGCAUUCCAUGAUCCAGUUACUCGGCAAGGUCCCCUCUCAAUUCUGCAGCCGUAGAACUGCUGAAGAAA
RNAcentral lists this unclassified non-coding RNA (232 nucleotides) under Hevea brasiliensis (rubber tree). The record is from RNAcentral. Lineage: Eukaryota; Viridiplantae; Streptophyta; Magnoliopsida; Malpighiales; Euphorbiaceae.